This 485-nucleotide unclassified non-coding RNA is filed under the name uncultured Entrophospora. Its description in RNAcentral is "SSU rRNA". It matches the Rfam family "Eukaryotic small subunit ribosomal RNA", at positions 569 to 1058 of the family's 1831-position model. The record is from RNAcentral. Lineage: Eukaryota; Fungi; Glomeromycota; Glomeromycetes; Entrophosporales; Entrophosporaceae.
AGCAGCCGCGGUAAUUCCAGCUCCAAUAGCGUAUAUUAAAGUUGUUGCAGUUAAAAAGCUCGUAGUUGAAUUUCGGGAUCAGUAUGUUGGUCGUGCUUCGGUACGUACUGUCAUUACUGGUUUCUACCUUCUGAAGAACCUUGAUGUCAUUAAUUUGGUGUCUUGGGGAAUCAGGACUGUUACUUUGAAAAAAUUAGAGUGUUUAAAGCAAGCAUACGCUUGAAUACAUUAGCAUGGAAUAAUGAAAUAGGACGUUUUGAUUCUAUUUUGUUGGUUUCUAGGAUCGACGUAAUGAUUAAUAGGGAUAGUUGGGGGCAUUAGUAUUCAAUUGUCAGAGGUGAAAUUCUUGGAUUUAUUGAAGACUAACUACUGCGAAAGCAUUUGCCAAGGAUGUUUUCAUUAAUCAAGAACGAAAGUUAGGGGAUCGAAGACGAUCAGAUACCGUCGUAGUCUUAACCAUAAACUAUGCCGACUAGGGAUCGGAU